Lolium rigidum is the source of this 3339-nucleotide long non-coding RNA. RefSeq lists it as uncharacterized. The transcript is spliced from 6 exons. The record is from RefSeq and is a predicted model, not a curated record. Lineage: Eukaryota; Viridiplantae; Streptophyta; Magnoliopsida; Poales; Poaceae.
CUGAUACAUCUGCUCAGGCUUGAAGUUCAGACUUCAGACCUGACGGUUUCAUCAUCUCCUCUUCUUAAGUUAAUGAGUAUGCACAUGUAAUGUACGUCUGUUGUAGUUCUGCACUUGGAGUUUUUGUGUUAAUGCCUGAAUGCAAAAUGAUUUCUGUAGUUUUUACAUGAAUGUAAAAUAAAGGCUAGAUAUUCCUGAUCUGGUUGGUCUGAACUUAUUGUUGUUUCUAAAUUGUAAAUCAAUUUGUUUACUCGCAGACACAAAUAAUAGUUGAGGUUUAAUUUAUGAUUUAUGCAUUGAAUAUCACUUUCAUCUAUUGAUUGAUUCCUGAUAUCACUGUACUGAAAGUACUCAGAAAUGAAGAAGCACCAUGGUGUACUUUGGCUUCAGGAUAUGCAUAGUUCAGCAUGGUUGUGUACCGAUGGUGCAAGGGAGAGAUGCCACUGACCAUUCAUUACGGGCUUUUAAUCCCACACCUGUUUCAUGUUCACAUUUCUGCUACUCAUACAUGUCUAUGUUGCAUUUCAGGCAGACCAAAUAAAUCGUCGAGACCCUAAGCAAACCCAACAAUGAAUCUAAAUAGCUUACUUUAGGAAGUAUAUGCUUAGUCAUUCUAUGCUCGGUUUCUUUCUUACCUGUGGAAGCAAAAUUGAUGAUACUAGAGGAAUUGUCAGUAUAUUGCAGUUCGGUUCUGAUGGAUUGUCAUUAUUUCCUAGAUGUUUGGGAUGAUUUUCUGGAAAUUUUGGCUCUAGAAGGUAUGUCCUGGUUCCGCCACUAAUUUCCUGGUGAACGUGUUAAUAGCGGUAUUCGUGGUGAGCUGUCCAUGAUGUCGUUUUAUAUUGCCAGGAGAUCCAGCAUAAUAUAUCUAAUGCCAUGGGUACCGUGUAUGCAGCAGUUAUUAUUACUGGAAUUACUAAUUCCACUUCUCUUCAAACCCUGUGAUUUCCAUCAAAAGAUUUGUAUCAUACAUAGAGUUACUUGCAUUAUGCAGUCACUGUAUGAUCAACUAGGGGAGUGUUGUCGCUCUCUUCUCCAUGCACAAGAACAUGUGGGAUUUUGGGAUGUUCACUUUCCAAACUAGGAGGUGUGCGCCCUGUUCGCAUGUACUUACUUUUGUCGCUACUGUUGUGUGUUGAGAUUUGAUUAAUUAUUACUAACAUGGACAGAGAUCUUACCCAGUUCAUUAUGGGGCUUGCAGUUUGUGCCCUGAGAACAUUUGUUCCGCUGAAAUCAAAGCUUGAUCACCACAAUUAGAGAUGGAAGGUGUGAAGAAAGCCCACUAUCUACAGUAUUGUCACAAUGCACAAACCUUGGCAGGCCUUGCUAGAUGUCUCGUAGAAUGGUGGAUUAUUGAGCAAUAAUCUUCAAGGUAAACAGUCUAAUAUUUCAUUUGCAUGGUAUUUUCAGAAAAUGGUUGUCAAAAAAUAGGAUUAGCCCCACCAGGUUGGAUGGCCAUAUGCAUUUGCAGGCGUUGAAGAAAAAAUGUUUAAUGUGCUCGGAGAGCAAUACCUGUAUACCUAUGAUGAGAAAAUAUAAUGGAUCGGACAUCAACUUAUUUACCAUGGCGUUUGGAAUUAUUUAAUACCUGUGUGUAACCUGCCAUCUAUGCAAGUUACUCAGGCACAACUAGCUCUAGAGGUUUUUGUUUUUGAAUUCGUAUGCACGCUAUUUAUGUUUUUUUCUCCAGAAAAUUGUUUAACAUGGGAACUAACAUGGCUACUGUUACUUGUUCACGGUGCCAUGUUAGGCUUGUGACUUUUGAAGGGGUCAAGAUGUUAGGCUCGAACUUCACAUUCUGCAAUACCACAACCUCAAGGCACCCAUCUCCUUUAUUUUAGUGUGCCCUAUAAAUUAGCAUGCAUGAUUAAUUAUAUGCAUUUACCAGUUCACUGGAUGCUCUAUAAGGGACUCAAAGUGCCAAGUGACAUGGAGAAAUGAUGUAAGGUAAUGGGUGAAGAAAGCCAGCAAAUCAGUCUGGAUUAUUUGUUGUCUGGAUCAACCCCUCAUUAUCCCCUGUCGCAAGGAAUACUUUUUUUUUAGAAGAAAGCAACCGUCUUGAGAAUUGCUUGCCAAAACCUAAUGAUCUGUGCAGUAAAUGAACGCCUGGAAUUUUAAAACAAUACAAGUUCUACAUGAGAAGCUCUUCUGUGCAAGAUUUCAGCGUUGAGGUCAUUUUCACUUGAACGGCUGCAAUACUUCAGGGAGAGAAUCUGGCAUGAGCACACUGGUCUACUUCCUUGACAUACCAUAGUCGGUCAUUUUAGCACAGUCUUGAAGCCGAUCAUUUACCUCUCCAUGUUUUACUUCUUCAAAAGUCUGAGAUCGUCAAUUGGUGACAACUACACCAUACUCCUCACAUUUAUAUGAUGCGUGACUGGGAUAGGAUACACGUUUGUCAUCUGUUUCAAUCCUGGCUCAGCGCAGCUGGUAUGCACCAUUGUUCUGGUUCUGACCUUGUUAUCCACUCAAAGUACUACCCCUACAUUCCGGAAGAUGUUGAGCUAUCCAAAGUGGACAGUAGAGGGCUUCCUAAUUGUAGAUGCAAAAAAGUUUAUUUCUUUCUUUUUCAUGAACAUUUGUUGUUAAAUACUGCACGCACAUGCGAGAUUAUCAUGCAUUAUAGAAGGUUAUGUUUCCUGUUUGUAUACUUCCAUUCAUGCUAAUUUGCCGCACUCUUUCAGCUGCAGGUAUCCUGGAGUUUGGCUAAUAACCCGCUGCGGGUUUUGGUCCUGUGCAUUAAUCUCAUCAUCAUGCAUGGUAGUAUUCAGUGAGGACUACAACGAAUUGUGAGUGUAAAUCAAGUUGCAGAGUUAUGUUCCGAAGAUUGGACAGAUGGAGGAGGAAUGAAGAUGGAAUUUUCAUAUUACUGAGUGGGGUAGAGAAGGCCCCUGUCAAGACAGCUAGAUGGGUGCAUGAUGGCUACCGGAGAGAAAGAUGUCUGCUGCAUUUCUCAUUUUCUGAAGCCAGAUGAGCACAACAAACAUAUUAGAUAGAAGAAUGGUGCCUAGACCACCGCCAAUGGAGUUCAAUUGUUCUACUGCUAUUUAGAAUUCGCUAACCUUUGAAUUUCUUGUACAGCUUCCUUAGCAUAUUAGCCGGAGAGAGUUAUUGUCAGCUUAUUAUUUCACACCGUACAUACACUGUCAUGUGAGGACCAUUGAUUUGUCGAUCAUUACGUCUACUUAGUUAACCAUCUCAUACUACACUUACCCUUUCAGUAUCACAGUAGCCUUGUACUUGCAGUAGUUGUGCAUAUUAUUGCAAAGUGAACAACUAUCUGAAUAAUGUCUCUGGAUGUAAGUGUUUUCCAUAGUUUCAAGUCAUUUGAAGUAGGUUUUA